RNAcentral lists this unclassified non-coding RNA (294 nucleotides) under uncultured Coprinellus. RNAcentral describes it as "sequence contains ITS2". The stretch from base 1 to 52 matches the Rfam family "5.8S ribosomal RNA", at positions 103 to 154 of the family's 154-position model. Lineage: Eukaryota; Fungi; Basidiomycota; Agaricomycetes; Agaricales; Psathyrellaceae. The record is from RNAcentral.
AACGCACCUUGCGCUCCUUGGUAUUCCGAGGAGCAUGCCUGUUUGAGUGUCAUUAAAUUCUCAACCUCACCAGUUUUGUAAUGAGACUGUGUAAGGCUUGGAUGUGAGGGUUUAUGCAGGCUGCCUCUGGGCGGUCUGCUCCCUUGAAAUGCAUUAGCGAGUUCACUAAGCUCCGUCUAUUGGUGUGAUAAUUAUCUACGCCGUGGAAUGGGUUUAGACUUGCUUCUAACCGUCUGCAAAGACAACUUUUGACAAUUUGACCUCAAAUCAGGUAGGACUACCCGCUGAACUUAA